GGGAGAGGUGGCCUGACAUACGCCUACCUAGACCGAGGACGGUCGAAGGGGCCAAAUUUACCGAAUUUCACAUUGAGGCGUCAGUCAUGAGACGCAAAAUUCUAAAGGAAGAGAAGAAAUCUUUUUAAUAACUGGAGGGAAGGUCUGGGGCCAGCAUCCGCGGUACUACGAGCUCCAGGGGGGUCUAUGAUGAUUGCUGCCAUCAGAAAGACCGUAUACGAAAUGAUUUACUUGUUCGAAAAGUAUUACCUCAGAUGAUGCCAAUAACAACUAUGUGAGUGCAAGAAAUAACUAGGGGCAGGGUUAUGGAGCAGCGAGAGGCGACAUUUGACGACUUGCUUGGAAGAAACAGAGACGAAUGCGCCUGCCUUGAGAAUUUGUGAUGAUCAAGGACGAAGGCUGGAGUAUCGAACACGAUUAAAUACCGUAGUAGUUCCAGCAGUAAACUAUGCCUACGCUAUCGAAUAAAAGUUUGGUAGACGAGAAAUCAUGAGUAGGGCUUUGGGGAGAGUACACGCGCAAGCGAUAAAUUUAAAGGAAAUUGACGGAAGAACACCACAAGGAGUGGAGUGUGCGGCUUAAUUUGACUCAACGCGGGACAGCUUACCAGAUCCGAGGACCAUAAGAGUGAGUACACGAUAGGUCUAAGAGUGGUGCAUGUCCGUUAUCGACGAGUGAAGUGAUUUUAUGGUUAAAUCUGACAAGUCGUGAGACCCUAAAUAUUAAUUAUUAUUUUUAAUAAAUCAGGUAUGAAAAUACAGGAAGGAUAGGACAAGAACAGGUCAGUGAUCCCCUUAGAUGGUUUGGAACUGCGCGCUCAUUACACUGGUUAUAAUAAUAAUAAAGAUAAGAAAAUAAAUAUACUCGAGAGGGAUUGAGCUCUGUAAAGUGCCCAUGAACGAUGAAUUGCUAGUAAUCGUAAAUUAUCAGUAAGAUACCAUGAAUAAGUCCCUGUUCUUUGAUCGCACCCGACGUCGUUAUCGAAGAUGGAAUUUCAUCCGAGCGAUCUUUAGCGAGUGAGUGUAUGUUUCUAGAUGUGAUACAAGUCGUAACAAGUUAACC
Molecule: ribosomal RNA, 1062 nt
Filed under: uncultured eukaryote
Lineage: Eukaryota
Description: bacterial SSU rRNA
Rfam family: Microsporidia small subunit ribosomal RNA
Source: RNAcentral